This 468-nucleotide ribosomal RNA is filed under the name uncultured bacterium. Its description in RNAcentral is "partial 16S ribosomal RNA". It matches the Rfam family "Bacterial small subunit ribosomal RNA", at positions 28 to 507 of the family's 1533-position model. The record is from RNAcentral.
GACGAACGCUGGCGGCGUGCUUAACACACGCAAGUCGAACGGAAAGGCCCUGCUUUUGUGGGGUGCUCGAGUGGCGAACGGGUGAGUAACACGUGAGUAACCUGCCCUUGACUUUGGGAUAACCUCAGGAAACUGGGGCUAAUACCGGAUAGGAGUUCCUGCUGCAUGGUGGGGGUUGGAAAGUUUCGGCGGUUGGGGAUGGACUGGCGGCGUAUCAGCUUGUUUGUUGGGUAGUGGCUUAGCAUGGCUUUGACGGGUAGCAGGCCUGAGAGGGUGACCGGCCAAACUAGGACUGGAAUGCGGCCCAGACUCCUACGGGAGGCAACGGUGGGGUAUAGUGCACAAUGGGCGGAAGCCUGAUGCAACAACGCCGCGUGCGGGAUGACGGCCAUCGGGUUGGAUUCCGCUGUCGCUUGUGACGAAGCGUGAGUGACGGUAAUGGGUAAAGAAGCACCGGCUAACUACGUG